Molecule: ribosomal RNA, 345 nt
Filed under: uncultured bacterium
Lineage: Bacteria
Description: partial 16S ribosomal RNA
Rfam family: Bacterial small subunit ribosomal RNA
Source: RNAcentral
CCUACGGGCGGCAGCAGUGGGGAAUAUUGCACAAUGGGGGAAACCCUGAUGCAGCGACGCCGCGUGAGCGAGGAAGUAUUUCGGUAUGUAAAGCUCUAUCAGCAGGGACGAAAAAAGACGGUACCUGACUAAGAAGCCCCGGCUAACUACGUGCAAGCAGGCGCGGUAAUACGCAGGGGGCAAGCGUUAUCCGGAUUUACAGGGUGUAACGGGAGCGUAGACGGCAAGGCAAGCUAGAAGUGAAAGGGCAGGGAUCAACCCUGGACCUGCUUUUGGUACUGUGGUGCUAGAGUGCAGUAGUGGUAAGUGGAAUUCCUAGUGUAGCGGUGAAAUGCGUAGAUAUUA